This 971-nucleotide ribosomal RNA is filed under the name Halomonas sp. HZBC5. RNAcentral's name for it is "bacterial SSU rRNA". It matches the Rfam family "Bacterial small subunit ribosomal RNA", at positions 383 to 1346 of the family's 1533-position model. Lineage: Bacteria; Pseudomonadati; Pseudomonadota; Gammaproteobacteria; Oceanospirillales; Halomonadaceae. The record is from RNAcentral.
CUGAUCCAGCCAUGCCGCGUGUGUGAAGAAGGCCCUCGGGUUGUAAAGCACUUUCAGCGAGGAAGAACGCCUAGCGGUUAAUACCCGCUAGGAAAGACAUCACUCGCAGAAGAAGCACCGGCUAACUCCGUGCCAGCAGCCGCGGUAAUACGGAGGGUGCAAGCGUUAAUCGGAAUUACUGGGCGUAAAGCGCGCGUAGGUGGCUUGAUAAGCCGGUUGUGAAAGCCCCGGGCUCAACCUGGGAACGGCAUCCGGAACUGUCAAGCUAGAGUGCAGGAGAGGAAGGUAGAAUUCCCGGUGUAGCGGUGAAAUGCGUAGAGAUCGGGAGGAAUACCAGUGGCGAAGGCGGCCUUCUGGACUGACACUGACACUGAGGUGCGAAAGCGUGGGUAGCAAACAGGAUUAGAUACCCUGGUAGUCCACGCCGUAAACGAUGUCGACCAGCCGUUGGGUGCCUAGCGCACUUUGUGGCGAAGUUAACGCGAUAAGUCGACCGCCUGGGGAGUACGGCCGCAAGGUUAAAACUCAAAUGAAUUGACGGGGGCCCGCACAAGCGGUGGAGCAUGUGGUUUAAUUCGAUGCAACGCGAAGAACCUUACCUACUCUUGACAUCCUGCGAAUUUGGUAGAGAUACCUUAGUGCCUUCGGGAACGCAGAGACAGGUGCUGCAUGGCUGUCGUCAGCUCGUGUUGUGAAAUGUUGGGUUAAGUCCCGUAACGAGCGCAACCCUUGUCCUUAUUUGCCAGCGCGUAAUGGCGGGAACUCUAAGGAGACUGCCGGUGACAAACCGGAGGAAGGUGGGGACGACGUCAAGUCAUCAUGGCCCUUACGAGUAGGGCUACACACGUGCUACAAUGGUCGGUACAAAGGGUUGCCAACUCGCGAGAGUGAGCCAAUCCCGAAAAGCCGAUCUCAGUCCGGAUCGGAGUCUGCAACUCGACUCCGUGAAGUCGGAAUCGCUAGUAAUCGUG